RNAcentral lists this long non-coding RNA (224 nucleotides) under Phoenix dactylifera (date palm). RNAcentral's name for it is "long non-coding RNA (PDAC_LNC014566)". The record is from RNAcentral. Lineage: Eukaryota; Viridiplantae; Streptophyta; Magnoliopsida; Arecales; Arecaceae.
CCACCCAAUCCACAAUUCCAUUAGUUUCACAGAAGACAUGCUUGGCCUCAAAGGCCACUCCAUCCCUCAUUAUGGCUCAGAUGUCACGAAGUAAAAGGUGGUCGUCAUCCGCACCCCUCGAACCUCCUAGAUUCAUCUGAUAACCGUGGCCGAGUCGCUCUCCAUGAUGACUGAGCGAGCUCGCAAAUCUAGUUGGACAUGUCGAAGGUCUGUCCACGCGGCUC